UGGAUCCAGACUUUGAUCCUGGCUCAGGAUGAACGCUAGCUACAGGCUUAACACAUGCAAGUCGAGGGGAAACGACAUCGAAAGCUUGCUUUUGAUGGGCGUCGACCGGCGCACGGGUGAGUAACGCGUAUCCAACCUGCCCACCACUUGGGGAUAACCUUGCGAAAGUAAGACUAAUACCCAAUGAUAUCUCUAGAAGACAUCUGAAAGGGAUUAAAGAUUUAUCGGUGAUGGAUGGGGAUGCGUCUGAUUAGCUUGUUGGCGGGGUAACGGCCCACCAAGGCGACGAUCAGUAGGGGUUCUGAGAGGAAGGUCCCCCACAUUGGAACUGAGACACGGUCCAAACUCCUACGGGAGGCAGCAGUGAGGAAUAUUGGUCAAUGGGCGAGAGCCUGAACCAGCCAAGUAGCGUGCAGGAUGACGGCCCUAUGGGUUGUAAACUGCUUUUAUAAGGGAAUAAAGUGAGAGUCGUGACUCUUUUUGCAUGUACCUUAUGAAUAAGGACCGGCUAAUUCCGUGCCAGCAGCCGCGGUAAUACGGAAGGUCCGGGCGUUAUCCGGAUUUAUUGGGUUUAAAGGGAGCGUAGGCCGGAGAUUAAGCGUGUUGUGAAAUGUAGACGCUCAACGUCUGCACUGCAGCGCGAACUGGUUUCCUUGAGUACGCACAAAGUGGGCGGAAUUCGUGGUGUAGCGGUGAAAUGCUUAGAUAUCACGAAGAACUCCGAUUGCGAAGGCAGCUCACUGGAGCGCAACUGACGCUGAAGCUCGAAAGUGCGGGUAUCGAACAGGAUUAGAUACCCUGGUAGUCCGCACGGUAAACGAUGGAUGCCCGCUGUUGGUCUGAAUAGGUCAGCGGCCAAGCGAAAGCAUUAAGCAUCCCACCUGGGGAGUACGCCGGCAACGGUGCAACUCAAAUGAAUUGACGGA
Molecule: ribosomal RNA, 926 nt
Filed under: uncultured organism
Description: bacterial SSU rRNA
Rfam family: Bacterial small subunit ribosomal RNA
Source: RNAcentral